CGGGGCGUAGCUCAGCCUGGUAGAGCGCCUGCUUUGGGAGCAGGAAGUCGCAAGUUCGAAUCUUGUCGCCCCGACCA
RNAcentral lists this transfer RNA (77 nucleotides) under Zavarzinia aquatilis. RNAcentral describes it as "Zavarzinia sp. HR-AS tRNA-Pro". It matches the Rfam family "tRNA". Rfam says of the family: Transfer RNA (tRNA) molecules are approximately 80 nucleotides in length. Their secondary structure includes four short double-helical elements and three loops (D, anti-codon, and T loops). The record is from RNAcentral. Lineage: Bacteria; Pseudomonadati; Pseudomonadota; Alphaproteobacteria; Rhodospirillales; Zavarziniaceae.